RNAcentral lists this ribosomal RNA (254 nucleotides) under uncultured bacterium. Its description in RNAcentral is "partial 16S ribosomal RNA". It matches the Rfam family "Bacterial small subunit ribosomal RNA", at positions 524 to 776 of the family's 1533-position model. The record is from RNAcentral.
UACGUAGGGAGCAAGCGUUGUCCGGAUUUAUUGGGCGUAAAGAGCUCGUAGGCGGUUUGGUAAGUCGGAUGUGAAAUCUCCACGCUCAACGUGGAGGGGCCAUACGAGACUGCCAUGACUAGAGUCCGGUAGAGGAAUGUGGAAUUCCCGGUGUAGCGGUGAAAUGCGCAGAGAUCGGGAGGAACACCAAUGGCGAAGGCGACUACCUGGCCUGUUCUUGACGCUGAGGCGCGAAAGCUAGGGGAGCAAACGGG